UCGAGCGAGAUUUUUUCCUGUAGCAAUACAGGGAAAAGUCUAGCGGCGAACGGGUGCUUAACACGUGGGCAAUCUGUCUUAAAGUGGGGGAUAGCUCGGCGAAAGCCGAAUUAAUACCGCAUGUGAUCAGAGUGGACAUCCAUUCGAAAUUAAAGUCGGGGCAACCUGACGCUUUUUGAGGAGCCCGCGGCCUAUCAGCUUGUUGGUGAGGUAACGGCCCACCAAGGCUUUGACGGGUAGCUGGUCUGAGAGGACGACCAGCCACACUGGGACUGAGACACGGCCCAGACACCUACGGGUGGCAGCAGUCGAGAAUUUUUCUCAAUGGGGGAAACCCUGAAGGAGCGACGCCGCGUGGAGGAUGAAGGUCUUCGGAUUGUAAACUCCUGUCAUUGGGGAACAAGUCGCUUACGUUAACUGCGCGAGCGUUGAUAGUACCCGAAGAGGAAGAGACGGCUAACUCUGUGCCAGCAGCCGCGGUAAUACAGAGGUCUCAAGCGUUGUUCGGAUUCAUUGGGCGUAAAGGGUGCGUAGGCGGCGCGGUAAGUCGGGUGUGAAAUCUUGGAGCUUAACUCCGAAACUGCAUUCGAUACUGCCGUGCUUGAGGGCUGGAGAGGAGACUGGAAUUUACGGUGUAGCGGUGAAAUGCGUAGAUAUCGUAAGGAAGACCAGUGGCGAAGGCGGGUCUCUGGACAGUUCCUGACGCUGAGGCACGAAGGCCAG
This 723-nucleotide ribosomal RNA is filed under the name uncultured bacterium. RNAcentral describes it as "bacterial SSU rRNA". It matches the Rfam family "Bacterial small subunit ribosomal RNA", at positions 62 to 763 of the family's 1533-position model. The record is from RNAcentral.